RNAcentral lists this long non-coding RNA (571 nucleotides) under Pongo abelii (Sumatran orangutan). RNAcentral's name for it is "lincRNA". The record is from RNAcentral. Lineage: Eukaryota; Metazoa; Chordata; Mammalia; Primates; Hominidae.
AUAACGCAGAGGUGGGAGACAGAGUGGGUGGGGAGGGGAGCCGCCAUACAGUGGCCAAGACCAGCUUUGCCCAAGUGGUGGCAACCGCAUGACCACAGGAACGAUGGCGUGAGCCCCAUGGCAACCUGGAGGAAGGGAAAUAAUCCAGGAUCCAUUUUGUGUGGUCAUCUUGUCUCCCUGGUCCCCUCCAGCCUUUCCUCAUCUUUUGUGACCUGGUCACUCUGGAAGGGCGCUGGCCUGUUAGUCCACAGGAUGGGCCUCCCCUGGGGCUUUUCUGAUGCUUCCUUAUGAUGGCACUGGCAUCCUGAGGGGGAGGACCACAGAGAGGAGGUGCCCCUCAUCACACCACAUGGGGGUCUAUGCACCAGCACCACUGCUUUCCAGGGCCCUUCACCUCCAUCACAGGUGGAGGCGGCGUCUGCCAGGAAGCAGAAAGUCGAGGCUUAGAAGGUGCAUGGCCCUACCUCUUCUGAGGUGCCCCUGCGGGCUGUCUACAGACCAGGCAGCACACGCCUGAUAGCAGCUGCAUAAGGAAAAGCAGGAGCCAGCUCGUGCACAGUGGACUCAAGUG